RNAcentral lists this ribosomal RNA (484 nucleotides) under uncultured Sphingobacteriales bacterium. RNAcentral describes it as "bacterial SSU rRNA". It matches the Rfam family "Bacterial small subunit ribosomal RNA", at positions 898 to 1382 of the family's 1533-position model. Lineage: Bacteria; Pseudomonadati; Bacteroidota; Sphingobacteriia; Sphingobacteriales. The record is from RNAcentral.
AACUCAAAGGAAUUGACGGGGGCCCGCACAAGCGGAGGAGCAUGUGGUUUAAUUCGAUGAUACGCGAGGAACCUUACCUGGGCUCGAACGUAAGAUGACUGUAGGUGAAAGCUUACAUCUCUUCGGAGUAUUUUACGAGGUGCUGCAUGGUUGUCGUCAGCUCGUGCCGUGAGGUGUCGGGUUAAGUCCCAUAACGAGCGCAACCCCUACCUUUAGUUGCCAUCAGGUAAUGCUGGGGACUCUAAAGGAACUGCCUACGCAAGUAGUGAGGAAGGCGGGGAUGACGUCAAGUCAUCAUGGCCCUUACGGCCUGGGCUACACACGUGCUACAAUGGUCGGUACAAAGGGUUGCCAAGCCGCGAGGUGGAGCUAAUCCCAUAAAACCGAUCGUAGUCCGGAUCGCAGUCUGCAACUCGACUGCGUGAAGUCGGAAUCGCUAGUAAUCGUGAAUCAGAAUGUCACGGUGAAUACGUUCCCGGGCCUU